GUGGCGAACGGGUGAGUAACACGUGAGCAAUCUGCCCUUGACUCUGGGAUAACUGCGGGAAACUGUAGCUAAUACUGGAUACGACACCUUGGGGCAUCCCAGGGUGUGGAAAGAAUUUCGGUCAAGGAUGAGCUCGCGACCUAUCAGCUAGUUGGUGAGGUAAAGGCUCACCAAGGCGACGACGGGUAGCCGGCCUGAGAGGGUGACCCCCCACACUGGUACUGAGACACGGACCAGACUCC
Molecule: ribosomal RNA, 242 nt
Filed under: uncultured bacterium
Lineage: Bacteria
Description: partial 16S ribosomal RNA
Rfam family: Bacterial small subunit ribosomal RNA
Source: RNAcentral